Molecule: small nuclear RNA, 226 nt
Filed under: Sorex araneus (European shrew)
Lineage: Eukaryota; Metazoa; Chordata; Mammalia; Eulipotyphla; Soricidae
Description: 7SK RNA (ENSSARG00000018361.1)
Rfam family: 7SK RNA
About the family: 7SK was discovered as an abundant small nuclear RNA in the mid-70s but a possible function has only recently been suggested. Two independent studies have found that 7SK RNA binds the CDK9/cyclin T complex (known as elongation factor P-TEFb).
Source: RNAcentral
AUAUGAGAGUGAUCUGUCAGCGACAUCUGUCACCCCAUUGAUUGCGAGGGUUGAUUCGGCUGAUCUGGCUGGCUAGGUGGGUGUCGCCUUCCUCCCUCACCGCUCCAUGUGCAUUUUUUCCUAUAAAAAAUUGGUAAUACUCAAUGAGAAUCAUAAUACAGUCUGCCACAGCAAUAAAUUAAAAAGAUUUCCAGAUUAGCAUUAUAUAUGGAUAACACCGCUAUUU